This 26-nucleotide small RNA is filed under the name Arabidopsis thaliana (thale cress). Its description in RNAcentral is "ATSL230360". Lineage: Eukaryota; Viridiplantae; Streptophyta; Magnoliopsida; Brassicales; Brassicaceae. The record is from RNAcentral.
ACAUGAGGGACGGUGACAGAGCGAAA